This is a transfer RNA of Ovis aries (sheep), 72 nucleotides long. It matches the Rfam family "tRNA". Rfam says of the family: Transfer RNA (tRNA) molecules are approximately 80 nucleotides in length. Their secondary structure includes four short double-helical elements and three loops (D, anti-codon, and T loops). NCBI's taxonomy places the organism in Eukaryota, Metazoa, Chordata, Mammalia, Artiodactyla, Bovidae. The record is from Rfam.
UCCCUGGUGGCUCAGACGGUAAAGCGUCUGCCUCCAAUGCAGGAGACCCGGGGUCGAUCCCUGGGUCGGGAA